This 301-nucleotide ribosomal RNA is filed under the name uncultured bacterium. RNAcentral's name for it is "partial 16S ribosomal RNA". It matches the Rfam family "Bacterial small subunit ribosomal RNA", at positions 509 to 807 of the family's 1533-position model. The record is from RNAcentral.
CAGUCGCCGCGGUAAUACGUAGGUGGCGAGCGUUGUCCGGAUUUAUUGGGCGUAAAGGGAGUGUAGGCGGUCUUUUAAGUCUGAUGUGAAAGCCCACGGCUCAACCGUGGAGGGUCAUUGGAAACUGGGAGACUUGAGUGCAGAAGAGGAGAGCGGAAUUCCAUGUGUAGCGGUGAAAUGCGUAGAUAUAUGGAGGAACACCAGUGGCGAAGGCGGCUCUCUGGUCUGUAACUGACGCUGAGGCUCGAAAGCGUGGGGAGCAAACAGGAUUAGAUACCCCUGUAGUCCCUGUCUCUUAUAC